GACGAACGCUGGCGGCGUGCCUAAUACAUGCAAGUCGAACGAAGCUGUUUUAACUGGUGCUUGCACCGACUUAAACAACUGAGUGGCGAACGGGUGAGUAACACGUGGGUAACCUGCCCCAAAGCGGGGGAUAACAUUUGGAGACAGAUGCUAAUACCGCAUAACCACAGAAACCACAUGGUUUCUGUGUCAAAGAUGGUUUCGGCUAUCACUUUGGGAUGGACCCGCGGCGUAUUAGCUAGUUGGUAAGGUAAUGGCUUACCAAGGCAUUGAUACGUAGCCGAACUGAGAGGUUGAUCGGCCACAUUGGGACUGAGACACGGCCCAACACCCUACGGGAGGCAGCAGUAGGGAAUCUUCCACAAUGGACGAAAGUCUGAUGGAGCAACGCCGCGUGAGUGAAGAAGGUUUUCGGAUCGUAAAACUCUGUUGUCAGAGAAGAACGUGUGCGAGAGUAACUGUUCGUGCAGUGACGGUAUCUGGCCAGAAAGCCACGGCUAACUACGUGCCAGCCGCCGCGGUAA
RNAcentral lists this ribosomal RNA (524 nucleotides) under uncultured bacterium. RNAcentral describes it as "partial 16S ribosomal RNA". It matches the Rfam family "Bacterial small subunit ribosomal RNA", at positions 28 to 523 of the family's 1533-position model. The record is from RNAcentral.